UAGUGUUACAGCUCUUUUAGAAUUUGUCUAGCAGGUUUUCCAAUUCUCACUGAAAGACCCCA
RNAcentral lists this small nuclear RNA (62 nucleotides) under Propithecus coquereli (Coquerel's sifaka). RNAcentral's name for it is "U7 small nuclear RNA (ENSPCOG00000009595.1)". It matches the Rfam family "U7 small nuclear RNA". Rfam says of the family: Animal histone pre-mRNAs are spliced by a different mechanism than nuclear pre-mRNAs and self-splicing introns. This processing involves the U7 snRNP, which contains only one RNA species: U7. Lineage: Eukaryota; Metazoa; Chordata; Mammalia; Primates; Indriidae. The record is from Rfam by way of RNAcentral.